This 691-nucleotide ribosomal RNA is filed under the name uncultured bacterium. Its description in RNAcentral is "bacterial SSU rRNA". It matches the Rfam family "Bacterial small subunit ribosomal RNA", at positions 1 to 693 of the family's 1533-position model. The record is from RNAcentral.
AAGGGGUUUGAUCAUGGGCUCAGAAUGAACGUUGGCGGCAUGGAUUAGGCAUGCAAGUCGAGCGAGAAGUUUUAGUUUGACGCUUCGGUUGAUUUCUAAAAUGGAAAGCGGCGCAAGGGAGAGUAACGCGUAGUUAUCUACCCCAAGGUCCGGAAUAGCCUCGGGAAACUGAGGGUAAUACCGGAUAAUAUCCCCGGAUCAAAGGUGUGAUUCCGCCUUGGGAGGAGACUGCGUACUACUAGCUUGUUGGUGGGGUAAUGGCCUACCAAGGCUUUGAUGGUUAGCGGGCGUGAGAGCGUGGCCCGUCUCACUGGGACUGAAACACUGCCCAGACACCUACGGGUGGCUGCAGUCGAGAAUCUUCGGCAAUGGGCGAAAGCCUGACCGAGCGAUGCCGCGUGCGGGAUGAAGGCCUUCGGGUUGUAAACCGCUGUCAGUUGGGAGGAAGGCUUCGUGAAGAGCGAAGCUUGACCUAUCUUCAGAGGAAGUCCGGGCUAAGUUCGUGCCAGCAGCCGCGGUAACACGAACCGGACAAACGUUAUUCGGAAUUAUUGGGCUUAAAGGGUGCGUANGCGGCGCGGUAAGUGAGGUGUGAAGUCCCACGACUCAAUCGUGGAACUGCGCUUCAUACUGCCGUGCUAGAGGGAGACAGAGGUAAGCGGAACUGAUGGUGGAGCGGUGAAAUGCGUUG